Molecule: small RNA, 29 nt
Filed under: Bombyx mori (domestic silkworm)
Lineage: Eukaryota; Metazoa; Arthropoda; Insecta; Lepidoptera; Bombycidae
Description: ovarian small RNA-8377
Source: RNAcentral
UGAUGUCCGUGCAUCAACAGUCAGUAAGC